AGUGAACGCUGGCGGUAGGCCUAACACAUGCAAGUCGAACGGCAGCACAGUAAGAGCUUGCUCUUACGGGUGGCGAGUGGCGGACGGGUGAGGAAUACAUCGGAAUCUACUUUUUCGUGGGGGCUAACGUAGGGAAACUUACGCUAAUACCGCAUACGACCUACGGGUGAAAGCAGGGGAUCUUCGGACCUUGCGCGAUUGAAUGAGCCGAUGUCGGAUUAGCUAGUUGGCGGGGUAAAGGCCCACCAAGGCGACGAUCCGUAGCUGGUCUGAGAGGAUGAUCAGAAACACUGGAACUGAGACACGGUCCAGACUCCUACGGGAGGCAGCAGUGGGGAAUAUUGGACAAUGGGCGCAAGCCUGAUCCAGCCAUACCGCGUGGGUGAAGAAGGCCUUCGGGUUGUAAAGCCCUUUUGUUGGGAAAGAAAAGCAGCAGGUUAAUACCCCGCUGUUCUGACGGUACCCAAAGAAUAAGCACCGGCUAACUUCGUG
RNAcentral lists this ribosomal RNA (492 nucleotides) under uncultured bacterium. RNAcentral describes it as "partial 16S ribosomal RNA". It matches the Rfam family "Bacterial small subunit ribosomal RNA", at positions 29 to 507 of the family's 1533-position model. The record is from RNAcentral.